Molecule: ribosomal RNA, 253 nt
Filed under: uncultured bacterium
Lineage: Bacteria
Description: partial 16S ribosomal RNA
Rfam family: Bacterial small subunit ribosomal RNA
Source: RNAcentral
UACGUAGGGGGCAAGCGUUGUCCGGAGUUACUGGGCGUAAAGCGCACGCAGGCGGUCUGUGAAGUUUGGAGUGACAGUUGGUGGCUCAACCACCAAAGUGCUUUGAAAACUGAUAGACUUGAGGGCUUCAGAGGGACACGGAAUUCCGGGUGGAGUGGUGAAAUGCGUAGAGAUCCGGAGGAACACCAAAGGCGAAGGCAGUGUCCUGGGGAGUACCUGACGCUCAGGUGCGAAAGCCAGGGGAGCGAACGGG